CGACAGAGAUGGGACGUCGUUAGCAGCGGCGACGGCGACAGUGCCUAGGUAGCCGUUUACUGGACUGCUCAAGGUAAAGGAAUGUGGGGUUAAAUAAGUCAUCGGGAGAGGAACAGAAACGACUCACCGGAAAACGUUAAGCAGCAACAAUAUGUAAUCUUCAGAUAUAUUCUUCCAGUGCCAGCCCAUUGCGGUGGCCAACUGUUUGACAUGUUAGCGCCCAAUCUACUAGUGAAAUCACCUGCAUCAGUGGAGCAAUGCGGAAUAAAAUCUCUCUGUGAGACUGUUCAGUAAAGCAUUCUGAGAUAUGCCGUCGAACCAAAAAAAGAUCAAGUUUGGAAGGUACCAUUUGCAGAACAGUCUUCUUCCAGAACAGCCAUCUCCCAGCAAGGAAUAAGUCACUUGUAGCCUUGGGCUGGACAGAUAAAGAGAUUAAAUAAUCACAGCACCAGGCAUUUUCUUGGUGUAAGAGGCUUUCUUCAUACUGUGCAGGUCUGGAUAUUUCCAGGGAGAACACCCAUUCCAAAGAUGCAUCUGCCCCGUGCAUACUCUCAUAGAGGAAACUGCCAAAAUUUGACAGCUAAGGAAAAUGAGAAAAAAGAUGCCAUUGAGUCAGUCCAGACCGCUGACUAAACAAAAAGCUACAACUCACACUUCAAAGUCCUUCAAAGCAAAGACACCAGAAUUAGUAACUUUUUUUCUUCCUCUCCUGUGACCUUGGAUUUACUUAUGUGAGUUGUUGUUGCACUAAUGCAAGAUCAGCUGAAGAUCAGUCUCCAAAAAUACCUUGUGUGUAUAGUAAAUGCCAUCACAUUAAGUGACUUUCCUGGGUGUUCAGAGAAGGGGAAAAAAACACUUCUAUGGAACAUCCACGCAUACAUAACAAGCCCCAGACCCUGGGGCCACCUGCCUGUCCACCAGAGGCUUUGAAAUAACAAACUCACCCAAGUGGGAUAUGAGUGGCCUGGCCUGGUCAGCAGUCGUAGCCAAGAGGGCAAAGGUCUGGGAGGAAGAAGCGGGACUGGGAAUAAUGAGGCAUAACCAGCGUGAAGCAGCAAGCCUAAGAAGCUUUUGGUACGUCCCAUCGCCAAAUUUUUAGGACGCAGACUGCCAUGACAGACCUAUGAGGUGUUACAGUGAAGUUGACCAGAUAAGUCCAGGAAUGGUGGGCUUAACUGGUAGGAAGUUGCAGAUCUCAUUAGAGGAAAUAGAUCAGUGACAGAAAGAAUCCUGUUUAAAAGGGGUAGGAGAGGGAGACAGAACAAUUCUCUGCCUGUGUAUGGAUAUGCAAUGAUCAAUAUUGCAAAUGUUGGUUUUUAAAAAAACACACAAACCAUUGAUGGCAGCAGCACUGAUGGUAUUUUUCAAGUGCUGUAUUGCUUUUGGUUCAGUGACAAGAGCCACCAUCCUGGCAAGCAGGGGACUGGGUUCUGUUGCUGUGCCAUAAAUGGUGAAGCGUUUAGCCUGAAGAACCACUUAGGGCUUUUCACCAGGAAGACAGGCCCAGCAAAAAUCCUGAAAGAGAGAUAUGGCAAACAUGGGGUAGUAGAGAGCUCCACAGCUACAAAAGCCAGUGCCCAAUGGAUCUCGGCACUAAGUUGAGGGCAAUUCAGCUGUAAAUGGGUCUUCCACAUGCAUUUAUAAUAAUAAUGAUGAUGAGGAUGUUAUUUAUUAAAUGCCAUCCAUUCAUCCAUGUGUUCCCUGCAAAGUGCUAAACGCUGAGGGAGUUACAAGGCAAUCAGAUCUGACACAGGCCCUUUCCCAUUUGGGGUUCACUGCCUUAAAUGGGGAGAAGGGGUAUUUUAUCCUCAUUUCACAGAUACAGAAAAUAGGCCCAAAGAAGUUGUGACUUGCCCAGGGUCACACGGCUGGCUAAAUGGUAGAGCUGCAGCUUGAACCCGAGUCCCCUAACUCCCAGACAUACUCUCUUCCCUAGGUCACACUGCCUCCCUAUUGUACACACCACAGUGUCCCGCAGGUCUGCGCAACUAUUCAGUGCAUUUUUGUGAGACGGGAACCUAACUACCAGGAAAGAGAGUGUGAAUGGUGUUAAGCAAAUCACUACCCCUGUAAUCAGUUCCUUUUCCUAGGUUCAAUCAUUGUUCCUGACAGGUAAGUCCUAUCGUCAACUAGAAUAAAAGAAGUCCUGCCAGCAAAAGAGCAAUAGCACCGACAGCUACCAGUGGUAGUGAGAAAGGUUAUAUGUUCAAGACCAGCGGCGCUUCCCUUGUGGAGUUCUAAUCGGCAGGCACAAUACAGCAUUAGCAUUUAAAUACCUAUUAUGAGUGGAACGAAUUCUGUGGCUUGAUAUUCACUGAUUUGAGAUAAUUGAUCAUUUUUAUCCAAAUCAAUAAAUGUAAAGAGUUUACAACA
This is a long non-coding RNA of Ornithorhynchus anatinus (platypus), 2373 nucleotides long. RefSeq lists it as uncharacterized. The record is from RefSeq and is a predicted model, not a curated record. NCBI's taxonomy places the organism in Eukaryota, Metazoa, Chordata, Mammalia, Monotremata, Ornithorhynchidae. The transcript has 5 exons.